AGGAUGAACGCUGGCGGUCUGCUUAACACAUGCAAGUCGAACGGAGUAGAAAUACUUAGUGGCGGACGGGUGAGUAACGCGUGAGAAUCUACCUUCAGGACGGAGACAACAGUUGGAAACGACUGCUAACCCCCGAUGUACUGAAAAGGCAAAUAUUUAUAGCCUGAAGAAGAGCUCGCGUCCGAUUAGCUAGUUGGAGAGGUAAAAGCUCACCAAGGCGACGAUCGGUAGCUGGUCUGAGAGGACGAUCAGCCACACUGGGACUGAGACACGGCCCAGACUCCUACGGGAGGCAGCAGUGGGGAAUUUUCCGCAAUGGGCGAAAGCCUGACGGAGCAAGACCGCGUGGGGAAGAAGGCUCUUGGGUUGUAAACCCCUUUUCUCUGGGAAGAACGCAAUGACGGUACCAGAGGAAUCAGCAUCGGCUAACUCCGUGCCAGCAGCCGC
This 447-nucleotide ribosomal RNA is filed under the name uncultured bacterium. RNAcentral describes it as "SSU rRNA". It matches the Rfam family "Bacterial small subunit ribosomal RNA", at positions 26 to 518 of the family's 1533-position model. The record is from RNAcentral.